Molecule: ribosomal RNA, 804 nt
Filed under: Escherichia coli
Lineage: Bacteria; Pseudomonadati; Pseudomonadota; Gammaproteobacteria; Enterobacterales; Enterobacteriaceae
Description: partial 23S ribosomal RNA
Rfam family: Bacterial large subunit ribosomal RNA
Source: RNAcentral
AGUAGCGCGGGCCUCGUGGAAUCCCGCGUGAAUCUGCCCAGACCGUUGGGUAAGCCUAAGUAUUCCUGUCUGACCGAUAGUGUACUAGUACCGUGAGGGAAAGGUGAAAAGCACCCCGGGAGGGGAGUGAAAUAGUUCCUGAAACCGUGCGCUUACAAUCCGUCGGAGCCUUUUUAUGGGGUGACGGCGUGCCUAUCGAAAAAUGAGUCUGCGAGUCAGUGGUAUGUGGCGAGGCUAACCCGGGUGGGGGAGCCGUAGCGAAAGCGAGUUUUAAAAGGCGUUUUAGUCGCAUGUCCUGGACCCGAAGCGGGAUGAUCUAGCCCUGAGCAGGUUGAAGCGCGGGUAAGACCGUGUGGAGGACCGAACCCACCUAGGUUGAAAACUGGGGGGAUGACUUGGGGUUAGGGGUGAAAGGCCAAUCAAAUUCCGUGAUAGCUGGUUCUCUCCGAAAUGCAUUUAGGUGCAGCGUCAUGUUAUUGCUUACAGGGGGUAGAGCUACUGGAUGCUUGCGGGCCCAUACCGGGUACUAAUAGCAGCCAAACUCCGAAUACCUGUUAGGUUUAUCAUGGCAGUGAGUCGGCGGGGGAUAAGCUCCGUCGUCAAAAGGGAAACAGCCCUGAUCGUCGUCUAAGGUCCCGAAGCGCGUGCUAAGUGGGAAAGGAUGUGGAGUCGCAUAGACAGCCAGGAGGUUGGCUCAGAAGCAGCCAUCCUUGAAAGAGUGCGUAACAGCUCACUGGUCUAGUGGUUCCGCGCCGACAAUGUAGCGGGACUUAAGCACGCCACCGAAGACGCGACUGUGUGAUU